Molecule: ribosomal RNA, 425 nt
Filed under: Acanthamoeba sp. BRO8
Lineage: Eukaryota; Discosea; Longamoebia; Acanthamoebidae
Description: bacterial SSU rRNA
Rfam family: Eukaryotic small subunit ribosomal RNA
Source: RNAcentral
ACUGAGGCCAGCCCCGAGCUUAUUUCUGCCACCGAAUACAUUAGCAUGGGAUAAUGGAAUAGGACCCUGUCCUCCUAUUUUCAGUUGGUUUAGGCAGCGCGAGGACUAGGGUAAUGAUUAAUAGGGAUAGUUGGGGGCAUUAAUAUUUAAUUGUCAGAGGUGAAAUUCUUGGAUUUAUGAAAGAUUAACUUCUGCGAAAGCAUCUGCCAAGGAUGUUUUCAUUAAUCAAGAACGAAAGUUAGGGGAUCGAAGACGAUCAGAUACCGUCGUAGUCUUAACCAUAAACGAUGCCGACCAGCGAUUAGGAGACGUUGAAUACAAAACACCGCCAUCGGUGCGGUCGUCCUUGGCGUGGCUGGUCUUUAACAAGAGGGACGCGUGGGUGGUUUCAUCCCGCCUGGCACCCACCGAUUAGAUUACCCCUC